UGGGCUCAAUGUGGACCGAAUCUCGAGACAUCAAAUCUUAACAAUCUCCACUUCGACUCGAUAUUCGGCCUCCUUCUAACUCUAAGAGCUUUUGGAUCUCCUCGCCCUCAUGCUCUGGAGCAAUCACCUGUUGAUCAUGGAUAGACAAACAUAGAAGUCGAGCCAGGCCGCUCGAUCCCAUCUCCAUCGUAUGCUAUGCUUCUCCUGACCUGAGACCUACUCGGGGUAUCAUCCUGCGG
Molecule: long non-coding RNA, 239 nt
Filed under: Elaeis guineensis (African oil palm)
Lineage: Eukaryota; Viridiplantae; Streptophyta; Magnoliopsida; Arecales; Arecaceae
Description: long non-coding RNA (EGUI_LNC010427)
Source: RNAcentral